RNAcentral lists this ribosomal RNA (1173 nucleotides) under Streptococcus dysgalactiae subsp. equisimilis. Its description in RNAcentral is "bacterial LSU rRNA". It matches the Rfam family "Bacterial large subunit ribosomal RNA", at positions 798 to 1983 of the family's 2925-position model. Lineage: Bacteria; Bacillati; Bacillota; Bacilli; Lactobacillales; Streptococcaceae. The record is from RNAcentral.
GCUUGGAUGACUUGUGGGUAGCGGAGAAAUUCCAAACGAACUUGGAGAUAGCUGGUUCUCUCCGAAAUAGCUUUAGGGCUAGCGUCGAUGUUAAGUCUCUUGGAGGUAGAGCACUGUUUGGGUGAGGGGUCCAUCUCGGAUUACCAAUCUCAGAUAAACUCCGAAUGCCAACGAGAUAUAAUCGGCAGUCAGACUGCGAGUGCUAAGAUCCGUAGUCGAAAGGGAAACAGCCCAGACCACCAGCUAAGGUCCCAAAAUAUAUGUUAAGUGGAAAAGGAUGUGGGGUUGCACAGACAACUAGGAUGUUAGCUUAGAAGCAGCUAUUCAUUCAAAGAGUGCGUAAUAGCUCACUAGUCGAGUGACCCUGCGCCGAAAAUGUACCGGGGCUAAAACAUAUUACCGAAGCUGUGGAUGACACGUUAGUGUCAUGGUAGGAGAGCGUUCUAUGUGUGAAGAAGGUGUACCGUGAGGAGCGCUGGAACGCAUAGAAGUGAGAAUGCCGGUAUGAGUAGCGAAAGACAGGUGAGAAUCCUGUCCACCGUAAGACUAAGGUUUCCAGGGGAAGGCUCGUCCGCCCUGGGUUAGUCGGGACCUAAGGAGAGACCGAAAGGUGUAUCCGAUGGCCAACAGGUUGAUAUUCCUGUACUAGAGUAUAAAGUGAUGGAGGGACGCAGUAGGCUAACUAAAGCAGGCGAUUGGAAGAGCCUGUCUAAACAGUGAGGUGUAAGAUGAGUCAAAUGCUUAUCUUUAUAACAUUGAGCUGUGAUGGGGAGCGAAGUUAAGUAGCGAAGUUAGUGACGUCACACUGCCAAGAAAAGCUUCUAGCGUUUAAUGAUACUCUACCCGUACCGCAAACCGACACAGGUAGUCGAGGCGAGUAGCCUCAGGUGAUCGAGAGAACUCUCGUUAAGGAACUCGGCAAAAUGACCCCGUAACUUCGGGAGAAGGGGUGCUGACUUAGGUCAGCCGCAGUGAAUAGGCCCAAGCAACUGUUUAUCAAAAACACAGCUCUCUGCUAAAUCGUAAGAUGAUGUAUAGGGGGUGACGCCUGCCCGGUGCUGGAAGGUUAAGAGGAGGGUUUAGCGUAAGCGAAGAUCUGAAUUGAAGCCCCAGUAAACGGCGGCCGUAACUAUAACGGUCCUAAGGUAGCGAAAUUCCUUGUCGGGUAAGUUC